GAUGAAGAAGCAGCGAAAUGCGAUAAGUAAUGUGAAUUGCAGAAUUCAGUGAACCAUCGAAUCUUUGAACGCACAUUGCGCCCGGCAGUAAUCUGCCGGGCAUGCCUGUCCGAGCGUCAUUUCUGCCCUCGAGCCUGUCCAGCAUCUAGGUGCUGUUCCGGCCCGGCGUUGGGGCACUACGGGAAGCCUCGUGCUAUCCCCCGUAGGCCCCGAAAUGAAGUGGCGGUCCUGCCGCGGCUCCCCCUGCGUAGUAUUACAGCUCGCUUCGGGACCCGGUGGAGGCCUGCCGUCAAACCUUACUCUCUAAGUUUGACCUCGGAUCAGGUAGGGUUACCCGCUGAACUUAAGCAUAUCAUAAGCGGAGGA
RNAcentral lists this unclassified non-coding RNA (366 nucleotides) under soil metagenome. RNAcentral describes it as "partial contains 5.8S ribosomal RNA, internal transcribed spacer 2, and large subunit ribosomal RNA". The stretch from base 1 to 119 matches the Rfam family "5.8S ribosomal RNA", at positions 35 to 154 of the family's 154-position model. The record is from RNAcentral.